UUUCCGUAGGUGAACCUGCGGAAGGAUCAUUAUUGUAUACCCGAGGUGAGAGGGCUGUCGCUGCCACGAAAGGCCGUGCACGCCCGAGUGCCCUCACCCCCACCCAGCUCACCCCUAUGUGCAACACCACGCGGGUCACCCCGUGGCUUGUGCGGAGGGGGGCAUACGUUAUCACACACACCUACGAUGCAGUGGAGAAGGUAUUUUUUGUUUUUGCGAUCAGGACAUCAACACAACUUUCAAAAACGGAUCUCUUGGCUCCCGCCUCGAUGAAGAACG
Molecule: unclassified non-coding RNA, 279 nt
Filed under: plant metagenome
Description: partial contains small subunit ribosomal RNA, internal transcribed spacer 1, and 5.8S ribosomal RNA
Source: RNAcentral